This 290-nucleotide small RNA is filed under the name Mycoplasmoides pneumoniae M129. RNAcentral describes it as "Mycoplasma pneumoniae M129 ncRNA". Lineage: Bacteria; Bacillati; Mycoplasmatota; Mycoplasmoidales; Mycoplasmoidaceae. The record is from RNAcentral.
GAUUAUGUUUUAUCUCGAUUUAAACAUUCAAAAUAUUCUUACCAAUUGGGAGAUAGCUGAUGCUGUUCGCGAACUGAUCGCUAACGCCAUUGAUGAGCACAUUUAACCGAAACCCAAUUCCCUAAAAUUGAAUUCAACGAAAACAAUUCAAGCUCAACAUUAAUAAUUCAAGACUUUGGUCGCGGCAUUAAAAUCGAACACUUUAUCCAAAACGAAAGUAAGGAAAAGGUUCAAAGUGAAAAAACUAUUGGUAAGUUUGGCACUGGUUUAAAGGAUGCAAUUGCUGUUUU